UUGGGAAUUAAAAUGUAAACUU
Molecule: microRNA, 22 nt
Filed under: Glycine max (soybean)
Lineage: Eukaryota; Viridiplantae; Streptophyta; Magnoliopsida; Fabales; Fabaceae
Description: gma-miR10186e
Source: miRBase by way of RNAcentral